RNAcentral lists this ribosomal RNA (440 nucleotides) under uncultured bacterium. RNAcentral's name for it is "partial 16S ribosomal RNA". It matches the Rfam family "Bacterial small subunit ribosomal RNA", at positions 338 to 795 of the family's 1533-position model. The record is from RNAcentral.
CCUACGGGAGACAGCAGUGGGGAAUAUUGCACAAUGGGGGAAACCCUGAUGCAGCGACGCCGCGUGAGUGAAGAAGUAUUUCGGUAUGUAAAGCUCUAUCAUCAGGGACGAAAAUGACGGUACCUGAUUAAGAAGCACCGGCUAACUACGUGCCAGCAGCCGCGGUAAUACGUAGGGUGCAAGCGUUAUCCGGAUUUACUGGGUGUAAAGGGAGCGUAGGCGGGAGAACAAGUCUGGAGUGAAAUGCCAGGGCUUAACCACGGAACUGCUUUGGAAACUGUGCAGCUAGCGUGUAGGAGAGGUAAGUGGAAUUCCUGGUGUAGCGGUGAAAUGCGUAGAUAUCAAGAGGAACACUCGUGGCGAAGGCGACUUACUGGACUGUAACUGACGUUGAGGCUCGAAAGCGUGGGGAGCAAACAGGAUUAGAUACCCCAGUAGUC